AAACUGCUUCAUUACAGAUAUUGCCAUGUAUGCUUAUACUUAAGCAUACUUCCUGGAAGAAAUAGCCACCCAGUUCAAACAUGGUAUCAUUAGCCAUGUGUUUCCCCCAUAAACUAUCCUAAAAAUGCUAAAACUAUUAUUAAACAAUUCUUUUUUGUUCUUCUUUCUUUCAUUUAUACAGUACUUUCUUAAUAUUAGAUUUAGAGUGGCUCCAAAUCAUAUUGUACAUAAAUAUUCACAUACAUAUUCAGCAGCGUUAAAAGUUGCCUGUCAGGAAUUUUUUAAGCAUGUAAGCUUAAAAUGUAUAUCAUAUCAAGUCACAGCUACAAAAUCAUGAAUGUUUAUAAAUCUAGCUCUUCAUCCUACCAUCACACUCCAUGAUUUGCUUAGCCUGGCUUGUAUUUAUAAAGCUAAGGAAUGCAGGUUUGCUAUAAAAGUAAGUAACAAAGUUACUUUACAUAAAGGGGGGGGGGGGGCUGCUAGCCAAUAACAUGAAAAGGAAGGAAACGGAAAAUAAAAGAUGUUUAUUUCAUGCAUAUGAAAUUGGUGGCUAUAUACAUGUACUAAAUAAAUAAAUAAAUAAAACUUCCAGUGGGACUUUCUGUAUUAAUAUUAACCCAAAUACCCACCCAAGUUCUUCUCUUUCACACCCCAUUCUUUCUAGUUCUUGUACAAAUGUCAGAAGUAAUCAACAAGUAAAAGAGAAUGUGAAAAUAAAAGAAAAUUAAUAUUUCUACUAUCUGUACUAAACGGGUCUCAUUACACAUUGCUUCCGGACAGAACUCAAGAAAUCCUUCAUGGUCAGUAAGACAGGUCAGUUUCAACACUCAAGCACAUAAGUAAAUGAUAAUGAAAAGCUCCAGUUAUCUAAACCAACAGAAGCAUAGAUAAUGAAAAGGCAAAUACAGGUUUACUACAACCCCAUCAAAGACUUAGAUAAACCGCCCAGAUCAUAAAAAAGCAGCUUCUGGGAUUCACUCUCUAGAUUAAAAACCUGAAUCUGAGAUACAAUGCAAAUACACACGCACAGAGAGCACAAUAUACCCAGGCUCAGUCAUCCUAAAAUGAUCAUAUUUCUCUGCCAUCCAUCAGAAUUAAGCUGCUUAUGGAUGCAUAACAAUGCUGUAUAUGCAGUUGCCCGUAGCAACAGGCAUACAAUUGUACAGCUAGCUCCCCUUUCCAGAAGCAGCAGCCGCCAAAGGAAAAGAGUUUGCAAACAGCAGGACAGGGGACAGCAGAAAGAACAAGCAAAAGAGCCAGCAGAGGCAAGGAAGGAAAAAGGGCCCUGAGAGCAGCAGGAAGAGAUGAAAACAGAAGGGACAGAAAAGGCCCAAAAGUGGGAGCGCAGAUCCCAGGACCAGGCAGCAGCAGCAGGAAUUGGAUGAAAGGGAAAUCCCCCCCCAAAAAACCAAAAAAAACCGGGGGGUGGGGAAUUGGGGUUAGACGCGGGUUUAACAAAAGCCCCCUUGCAACUAUACAAGCAAGUUCAAGCGACAGAAACUUGUCGCCAAAAGCCAGCGUGUCUUUCUUUAGGCUUGAACCCAUCUUCCCCAUCCAUAACUCAACGAGGCCACCUCUUCAUCUCCAUUGCCCAAGCACUCUAAAACUAGCCCUUCCCACUCCCUCGGGUCAGGCUCGUCACCAGCAGCGUCCGGCAAGUCGUGCAGGAGCUGCGCAAAACUUAAAAGAGAGAGAGGGGGGGGGAGGAAGGGACACUACUGCACAUCCCUGUCCUUAAGUUCAGAAGCGUGGGCCUGCCGUCCCUUCAUACACAUUCCACCAGGGCCCGCAUCUCAUUCAUUUGUUAGAGACAAAUUACACGCCACGAACGGGUCUGAGAAACGAUUGCCCGGGACUCGUGGGGGGAUGGGUGGGGGGGAGAAUGUAAAACCCAGGGCUGCAAGCUCUUUGGAGAGGUCCGUCCGAAGAACCCGCGGACAACUCCACAGUGCCCCCUCUCUCUCUUAAGAACAAUCCUAAGCAAAGCAUCAACCUGCCAGCGCCUACAAGACCCGCUUCGCAAACGAGCCAUCGGGUUUGCACCGGGGCUCGAACCUACGCGCGAGCGCACGCCUCGGCCUCGCGCGCCCUCGUCCGCCGGACCGCCGCGGCGAGAUUGGGCAGCCGGCGGGCACAUGCCCAGAGAGGUACAGAGUUCACAAGUCUAGAGACAGAUGGAAAAUAUACAGCUUAAAUCAGGGGUCCCCAAUCCCCAGUCCAUGGAUUGGUACUGGUCUGCAGUCUGUUGGGAACCAGGCCAUGCAAGCAGCGAAUGACUAUGCACAUGCGCAGGAUCUAGGUUGUGCACGCAAAACCAUCUCCCCCCUGCUAACCCGUCGCUGCCAAUACCACUUCUGCCUGCCUGUGGAGCCAGAAAGAUUAAUUUCUUGGAAGCAUGAGAGCGGAUACUAGUUUACAACUCUGGGUACCAAGAAUGAAGAGCUCCAAGAAGAAAUAACCACAUUAGAUUUGUUCAUCAGUUCUUCAAAAACCAGUAAGAGAGUCUUAUGGUGGGGAGCCGCUAUAUACUUAUGUCAGAAUCAACACUCUCGGAGCAACCAAAAGGGCCGUGGUGGCUCAAGGCUGUAAGAAGCCUGUUAUUAAAACCAGCUGCCUGCAAUUACUGCAGGUUCUAGUCCCACCAGGUCCAAGGUUGACUCAGCCUUCCAUCCUUUAUAAGGUAGGUAAAAUGAGGACCCAGAUUGUUGGGGGGGCGAUAAGUUGACUUCGUAAAUAUACAAAUAGAAUGAGACUAUUGCCUUACACACUGUAAGCCGCCCUGAGUCUUCGGAGAAGGGCGGGAUAUAAAUGUAAACAAAAAAAAAACCCAAAGGAAUGGGAAUUUUGCUUCAGUAUUACAAGCUACACUGCAUUACAAUUAACUGGGCAGAUGAGGGAAGAGGCGGAGCCCCAGCAAAAGAAGUUAUACCAUCAAUCAUUGCUUCUCAAAGACAACACAUUCAUACAACACAUUGAAGUCAGUUGUAAACUUAGCAAGUCCAUUUGCACGUGCUAAGAUUGUUAGUUCUAAACUUGGUUACAUGGUGUUUCAUCUUGUUAUUUUGAUGUUGACCUGUGAGGGUUUUCUUCUUUUAAAAAAGGGGAGGUUGUAUGCUGUAUAAACUGGAUAAUUAAAUUUUGUGCAUAUGGUGCAAAACCAUGAAUGCAUUAAUUCAGUAAUCAUGUUAAGCAUGGUAUGGGAACAUAGCCAGAGAAUUAAUGCAACUGUUAAAUAGGGAGUUAGACAGGUUUCCAUAAAAAUGUUUUUUUACUAUGGAGCCAGAUCCAUCUUUAUGGUUUCUUGAAGGGAUGCCUGGGCACGAUAAAGUGUUUUUUUAGAGGUCAUUCCAGAAAUUAUAAAUUCACAUAACAUAGGACUGCAAGCCAAAUUGAGGGAAACCCAAAGAUUUUUCCCCGUAAGGCAUGUCUGAUUUCUAACACUUGGCAAUGGUGAUGGCUAAGCUGGAAUGAGAAAGAUCUUUAACGAUUGCACAGACUGUCUGAGAAAUAGAUGAAUGGCUGAGUCCAACUUGUUGAGGAUUUAGUUUUGGCAAGAAGACAUGAGUGUACAAAUACAUACCUGAGAAUAUGCAGUAGUGGCAUAUAUUCACAAUAGAAGUCUAAGCAAAUUUAAGCAUGAAUGGCUUCCAUACAUACUAUAUACUAAUAAAGGAGAAUAUUUGAAGCUCAGGGUUCAAAGAACUAGCAUUGAUAAUGUUACCUAGUUUGAGUAAUAAAACAUCUGCAAGAAAGCAACGAAGCAGAUAGAGCACUAAGGAUCCCUCAUACCAUAUACUACACAGCAAGGAAAAUAAGUAUGUAUGGAAAAGAGAACUGACUGAAAUAACUCUUAUUUCAGAAAAAACUGAAAUCGGAGACACUAAAAAUUUGAAAUCUUUAGAACUAUUUAGCAUUAUACCGGUAAUAUGAUAAAGAGGAGGGAAAUACUAUUUAUAAAGUUUUUAGUUUUUUAGUUUUUGUAUUUUUAAACAACAAAUAGUGGCUAUUUUAUCUGAAAGACUUACCAUACAUUCUUAUUUAUACUGGUCAAAUAAUACAAUUUACUGUUUUCUAUAAUUAAUUUCUAAUCAAGCAUACAACUGUACAAUAUUGGUACCUCUUGCUCACUUAUAUAUGUUACAUUUAUAUAUCAAUUAAUUAUAUGUACAUACUGUAAGAUGGGCAAGCUACACAAAUUUAACAAUUGCAUGCAUGCGUUUGGAGACAUAGGGCAAAACUGUUGUUUGUAAUAGAAUGAUAAACGGAUGUUUUGCAAUAUUUUGAAAAAACAAUGAAAAUAGGAUGCAUAGUGCUAUCUCUCCUUCUUUCCCCUUUCUGUCUUCCUUUUCUUUACCAUUUCCACCCAGAAAAUGAGUGAAUAUGUAUGUGUGUGUGAAAGAGAAGGACACAGCAACAAAUGCCUUACAAUUGUUAAACUAAAGUGUGCUUGAACUAGUACUGAGCAUCCUUGAAUUCAAAGAGUGCUGGCAAAUCUUUGAACAUUUAUCUGUUUUUCAUUAAAUAUUAAAAUUACAUUGUUACAACUUCAAAGAAAAGUACAAGUUUCUAGUCACUUAUCAAUGUCCCAUAGAUGCUGAUAAUAGCAGCUACUUGGCUCAGGGUCAUUUCUGGCUGAUUAUAGUGUGUCUUUUAUUUUAAAAAAUAUUGCUUCCCUGGUAAGGAAGUCCAUAUAGCUAUUUCCUCUUGGGUUUUUUUAAGUUAAAGCACAUCUCAAAUAUAUCAGCAUGAAAGAUUGUAGCAGCAUGACAUUUGCUGUCCCCAUUCCAGGUCUCUCUCUUGCCUCUGUUACUUCUCUUUCAAGUCACUGCAGUCUUUUCCCAUGGGGAAAGUAUAAAUGCAGAAGGCUCUUGGCAACAAAUUCAAGAAGCAGAACUCUUUGCUGGCAAUCAAUGUGCCUUUUCAGUGAGCACUACGUACCUGAUGUUCAACAGAAUUAGAUCUACAGCAUUUUCAAAGCUUUAAAAGGCAGGAAACCAUUUAAUGAUGUUUUCAUAAAUCUUAAAGUGUUCAGAAAUCAAAAAGAGAAAACGUGCAUGAUAAAGAAUAUGUUCCCCUGUUUUUUGUCUGACAAAUAACAGCACUUGUUGAAGGUUGAAUUUACCUUCAUGAGAGAAAGACAGAGAGAGAGAGAAUAGUUAGCACAACUACAAUUGACUAUGUUUAUAUUAGCAAUCCACUCUUCUCCUCCUAACUCCUGUCUUUCUUCUUGCUACCUAGAGAUAGGCCAAGUAUAAGAAUUAUUAUUUUCUGAUUUUAAAAUUUUUCAGUGAUAAGGAUUGUGUGAAACAAUCUCUGCUGUUACACCUCAAAGCCACUCAGUAGCUCCAUUUAUCACACAGAUUUGAACAUGAUGUACGAUGCAUAUUUUUAACAUCACUUUCAAGAAACUCUGAAAUAAUAUUUUCAAAGCAUAACAGAAUCUAAAAAAGAAAGUAACAUUUUCCAUUUUCAGAAGUAGGUUUGUAAUUUUGAAAAUACUUGAUUCUUUUCUUUAUAAACUUGUUAAAGAGCUUUGCAAUCUUGAAUACAGUACAAUCAUUGUACUGUAUUCAACUAUGAAUACAUUUGCAAUUUGCUGAACUUAGUAUGUCAUUUAAUAAUGAAUCUCUAAACUAGAUUAAAAUGCUGAAUGUUCACGUUUCCUUUCUUUCAAAUUGUAUUUUCACACGUGCAGUGAUAUAGUUGUGUAUAACUGCUGUGUUCACUGCCCUUCAUCUGAACCAUGGAUUAUAGUUCAAGAGCACCAGACAAUAACCAUCUGCCUUACACAGAUGGGAUCGGGUAAAAUCAAAGAUGGACUUUUUCUAAUCCUUAAUAACUUUUCAAGUUGAGUGCAUCUGAAUAUAAAGAGUUCAUUUCUCAGAAUGAAAGCAAUAAAAAUGAAGCGGGCUCCCUAAAAUCACACAUUUAACGCUUAAUGAGAAAAUAUAGCACAAAAGUUAGUUGAAAAAUGGGCAGCUAUAUGAAUGUUUAAAUAAAUGCAUACAUACAUACAUGCAUGCAUACAUGCAUGCUUUACAUGCAAACAUUCUGCUAUGUUUAUGCAUUUUAGCUUUAAAAAUACCUGUAUUUAAAAAGUUGUCUGAUUCUAGUGAAUUGUGCAAAUUAGAAGAGUUAAUGUUUAUAAUAGAUUCUGCUCCCAGUGAUCUUCUUGAAAAUCCUCUGAUAAACCUAUUACUAGCCUACCAUUGGCAAUAUUCCUACUUAUUAGGUGCUAAAAGGGCUUUUUGCAAACCGUGAAGUAGGUAUAACUGGAAAUCUUCUGAUCUAAGAUUCUCUGUCUCCUGACCUCCCCACAAUUAUAGCAGACCAAUUCUUCCCUCCUCCCCUCCCCAUUAGCUUAAGUGGGGGCCACUUAAUGAGAAUCUCUAAAAUUGAAAACCCCAUUAAAGCCCUUGCCUUCCUUUCCUAAAUAAAUUGCAUGAGCUUUGAAAAUGGUGGACAAACCAUCGUAUCAUAUUCCAUCAACCGCUAGCUUGAAUCAAAAAUCAAGAAGUUUUUUGCAACCAUAGUUGCUUCAUUCUGUAAUUCUCUGCAAAAUUACAUGAGACGUGAACAGUCCACUGACAUUAAUGUAUCAGGUCGCUCGGCAGAUUGAAAAUCAAUUCCUGUGUAAUCCACAUUCAGUCAAAUGCCCUGGUUGCUUCAUUCCCAGCCUCAAGUGUAACAGCCAUAUUUAAUAUUUUAAUAUAAUUGCCAAAUAAAUUGCUGCAAACUAGCUAGGAAAGGGAGGGAAAAGUCUGGAUCAUGACUAUCAUACAGUGGCUAAACCCUAGCAUAGAACAUUAUAUUUGGUUUCCCCUUUUUCCCCUUUUAUUCUGAGGCUUGCAUAAACUAACUCUUAAAUUGCAAUCCUAUCCUGACUAUUCUGAAGGAAGCCCCACCAUUCUCUACUAAGAUUAUUUUGAUCUAUCCCUUGGCUAAUUAUAGUGAAUAAAAAGAGUUAUCAACUAUGCAAUGAAACAAAUUUGGGGUGGGGGAUGGGGAAACAGAGGAAUUAUAGAAGAUGCAUCUUCAUUCAGCAUUUUGAGAACCUGCUGUCAGAGGAAUGUGCUAGUGCCUCCUCAAACAUUUGAAGUAAUAGCACUUGAGAUGUCUUCUCUUCUCACAGUGUUAUGACAUGAUGGCAUGAAAUGUGCUCUUUGAGGAAGUGAAGGCUGAUCCACGCAAGUUGUUUGCCCCAGCAUGAAUCCAGGCCUCUGAUAAUUUCUUGAGGCAAAGAAUGCAUGAUUUUUUUCCAUAGCCCAUAAGGAGGGCAACAGCUGCCUGCCUUUUCCUGGGCCUCAUUAAGUCACGUUUUCUGAUUCGUCCUGGCACAAUCUCUGCUGUCCACAAUUGUCUGCUGUGCUCUUCAUUGUAUGCAAACACCUACACAGGCAAACCACCUGCAGGACGGAGAUGCCUCUACUCUCUGAACAGUGCAUUCUUGAAACAAGGUCAUCAGCUGAAAUCCCAGCUUCCUUUCUGUUUAAUCUUACUGGUAUAAUAAAGAAUUUGUGGGUCUUAAAAACAAAAAAGUAGGUGAAAUUGACAAGCUCCUUCCUUCCUUCCUUCCUUCCCUCCCUCCC
Ahaetulla prasina is the source of this 7589-nucleotide long non-coding RNA. RefSeq lists it as uncharacterized. NCBI's taxonomy places the organism in Eukaryota, Metazoa, Chordata, Lepidosauria, Squamata, Colubridae. The record is from RefSeq and is a predicted model, not a curated record. The transcript has 3 exons.